GCCGGCUCCUCGCGCCCCUACCCGCUGCGCUCUGCCCAGAGCAGAAGCCCGGCCGGCCGGCCCACGGGCGGGAGGACGCGCCUCCGCUCGGGCGGAGGCGGCGCGGUGGCUGAUCAGAGCGCGUAGGGCUUCGCCGGGGCCGGGAGCUGGGCGCGGUCCUGCUCAGCCCAGCUCACCGCGCGCCGGCCCUCGGCGCCCUGGUUCUGCGGAUCAGGAGUUGAAACCAGCACCUUCCCUUUCUCUGAGUCCUGCCUCCUUCUGCAGAAGGGAGCUCAAAAGAACUUUGUUGUUUUGCCUUUUACUCUGGGGUGAAAGCGGCAGGAGGUAUGUGAGAUGGUGAAAUGAUUUGCUUCUGCCAUGCUGGGGUCACGGGUGGAUCGCCCUAAACUCUCGGUGGCCCCCUCAGUAGUUUUGGAAGAGGACCAAGUCCUUGUCUCUCCAGCAGUGGACCUGGAAGAAGGAUGCCGGCUCAGGGACUUCACUCACUAUUCACUAUAGCAAAGACUUGAAAUCAACCCAAAUGCCCAUCAAUGAUAGACUGGAUAAAGAAAAUGUGGCACAUAUACACCAUAGAAUACUAUGCAGCCAUAAAAAAGGAUGAGUUCAUGUCCUUUGCUGGGACAUGGAUGAAGCUGGAAACCAUCAUUCUCAGCAAACUAACACAGGAACAGAAAACCAAACACCGCAUGUUCUCACUCGAGAAAAUAAUGAAUGUCAAAGGAAAAGUAAUUCUGUCAAUGCUGGUUGUCUCAACUGUGAUCAUUGUGUUUUGGGAAUUUAUCAACAGCACAGAAGGCUCUUUCUUGUGGAUAUAUCACUCAAAAAACCCAGAAGUUGAUGACAGCAGUGCUCAGAAGGGCUGGUGGUUUCUGAGCUGGUUUAACAAUGGGAUCCACAAUUAUCAACAAGGGGAAGAAGACAUAGAC
Molecule: long non-coding RNA, 926 nt
Filed under: Homo sapiens (human)
Lineage: Eukaryota; Metazoa; Chordata; Mammalia; Primates; Hominidae
Description: long non-coding RNA NONHSAT221265.1
Source: RNAcentral